AGUCGUAACAAGGUCUCCGUAGGUGAACCUGCGGAGGGAUCAUUACACAAAUAUGAAGGCGGGCUGGAACCUCUCGGGGUUACAGCCUUGCUGAAUUAUUCACCCUUGUCUUUUGCGUACUUCUUGUUUCCUUGGUGGGUUCGCCCACCACUAGGACAAACAUAAACCUUUUGUAAUUGCAAUCAGCGUCAGUAACAAAUUAAUAAUUACAACUUUCAACAACGGAUCUCUUGGUUCUGGCAUCGAUGAAGAACGCAGCGAAAUGCGAUAAGUAGUGUGAAUUGCAGAAUUCAGUGAAUCAUCGAAUCUUUGAACGCACAUUGCGCCCUUUGGUAUUCCAAAGGGCAUGCCUGUUCGAGCGUCAUUUGUACCCUCAAGCUUUGCUUGGUGUUGGGCGUCUUGUCUCUAGCUUUGCUGGAGACUCGCCUUAAAGUAAUUGGCAGCCGGCCUACUGGUUUCGGAGCGCAGCACAAGUCGCACUCUCUAUCAGCAAGGGUCUAGCAUCCAUUAAGCCUUUUUUUUCAACUUUUGACCUCGGAUCAGGUAGGGAUACCCGCUGAACUUAAGCAUAUCAAUAUAAAAGUCG
Molecule: ribosomal RNA, 586 nt
Filed under: uncultured fungus
Lineage: Eukaryota; Fungi
Description: eukaryotic LSU rRNA
Rfam family: 5.8S ribosomal RNA (bases 211-364)
Source: RNAcentral